RNAcentral lists this long non-coding RNA (243 nucleotides) under Lathyrus oleraceus (garden pea). RNAcentral describes it as "Pisum sativum (pea) long non-coding RNA (PSAT_LNC018711)". Lineage: Eukaryota; Viridiplantae; Streptophyta; Magnoliopsida; Fabales; Fabaceae. The record is from RNAcentral.
CAUUAAGGAUAGAUUGCUUUCUAAAUCAUGUAAAGGACUUAAACCAAUACAAGGUCAUUUCUCAUUUUCCUUUUGGCAUGGCAAGUUGUUGGAACUUGGUUCACUAAUCAAGAUUUCUAACUUGUGUUGUUGCCUACAUUAUUAUUGACCGACCUCAGAUAGUUGUGACUUCUACAUAAGUUCAAUUACGAUUGCUUAACAUAGCGCUAAAUUUACCUUAUGGCACACUAACCACUAACAUUA